This 68-nucleotide transfer RNA is filed under the name Anadara pilula. Its description in RNAcentral is "tRNA-Ser". The record is from RNAcentral. Lineage: Eukaryota; Metazoa; Mollusca; Bivalvia; Arcoida; Arcidae.
GAGAAAGGCUUAAAAAAGCGUAGUCGGGCUUCUAACCUGAUUAAGGGUGGGAUGGCAUCCAUUUCUUU